CGGCGUGCCUAAUACAUGCAAGUCGAACGGCUUUUCUAUGGAAGACUUGCUUCACUGAGAAGAUAGUGGCGAACGGGUGAGUAACAACGUGGGUAACCUGCCCAUAAGAGGGGGGAUAACAUCCGGAAACGGGUGCUAAUACCGCAUAGUUUUCUUGAUCGCAUGAUCGGGAAAGGAAAGACGGCCUUUGUGCUGUCGCUUAUGGAUGGACCCGCGGCGUAUUAGUUAGUUGGUGAGGUAACGGCUCACCAAGACGAUGAUACGUAGCCGACCUGAGAGGGUGAUCGGCCACAUUGGGACUGAGACACGGCCCAAACUCCUACGGGAGGCAGCAGUAGGGAAUCUUCCGCAAUGGACGAAAGUCUGACGGAGCAACGCCGCGUGAGUGAAAGAAGGUUUUCGGAUCGUAAAACUCUGUUGUCAGAGAAGAACAAGUCGGAGAGUAACUGCUCCAGCCUUGACGGUAUCUGACCAGAAAGCCACGGCUAACUACGUGCCAGCCGCCGC
This 507-nucleotide ribosomal RNA is filed under the name uncultured bacterium. RNAcentral's name for it is "bacterial SSU rRNA". It matches the Rfam family "Bacterial small subunit ribosomal RNA", at positions 40 to 518 of the family's 1533-position model. The record is from RNAcentral.